This is a non-coding RNA of Pogona vitticeps (central bearded dragon), 145 nucleotides long. Lineage: Eukaryota; Metazoa; Chordata; Lepidosauria; Squamata; Agamidae. The record is from RefSeq and is a predicted model, not a curated record.
CAGGUCGGCUGGAGACCCUCGAGACCCUGGAAGGGGCCAACGGCAGCCUCACCAGCAUUGACUUCGACCCUUCGGGCUGUCAUGUCUUGGCUGCUACCCACAACAAUGCUGUGCAGCUCUGGAAGAUUGGAGAGUGUCGGUUCAA